This 207-nucleotide ribosomal RNA is filed under the name uncultured bacterium. RNAcentral describes it as "partial 16S ribosomal RNA". It matches the Rfam family "Bacterial small subunit ribosomal RNA", at positions 568 to 774 of the family's 1533-position model. The record is from RNAcentral.
CACGUAGGCGGCCUAGCAAGUAGGGAGUGAAAGCCCUCGGCUUAACCGAGGAAGUGCUUUCUAAACUACUAGGCUUGAAUACUGGAGAGGGUCGCGGAAUUCCCGGUGUAGAGGUGAAAUUCGUAGAUAUCGGGAGGAACACCAGUGGCGAAGGCGGCGACCUGGACAGAUAUUGACGCUGAGGUGCGAAAGCGUGGGGAGCAAACA